RNAcentral lists this long non-coding RNA (954 nucleotides) under Homo sapiens (human). RNAcentral's name for it is "non-protein coding lnc-FMN2-3:2". The record is from RNAcentral. Lineage: Eukaryota; Metazoa; Chordata; Mammalia; Primates; Hominidae.
CUUGCCCAAAAUUCUCCACAAUCCUCCACCUCCGCUCUUCCAUUUAGGAUAUAAAAGAGGGUUUUCUCAGACCUUCUGCCAAUGCGCAGACAGAUGAAAGACGACACAGAGGUUCUCAUCAUUCUGCUGAGGAACUGAAAGCGGGUUUCCCACUCCAAUGUCUUAGUUUGGAAUCACGGCUUUUGUCCCCUCUCCGAGAAUGAAUAAUCACCAAGAAAAGAGAGGCCGUGGUGGCACUCAGCAAGGAGAAGGCCAUGUUUAGUCGAGCACCAGGAUCAUGAAGCCCAAGAGCGAGAAGCCAGACAAGUUCAAGUCCGGUAUCUCCCAGGCUCUUCUGGAGCUGGAGAUUAACUCACACCUCAAGGUUCAGUUCAGGGAGCUGAAUAUUACAGCAGCCAAGGAAACUGAAGAUGGUGGUGGUGGGAAAGCUAUCAUAAUUUUUGUUCCCUUUCCUCAACUGAAAUCUUUCCAGAAAAUCCAAGUCUGGCUAGUACGUGAAUUGGAGAAAAAGUUUGGGGGAAGCAUGUUGUCUUUAUUGCUCAGAGGAGAAUUCUGCCUAAGCCAACCCGAAAAAGCUGUACAAAAAAUAAGCAAAAGCAUCCCAGGAGCCGUACCCUGAAAGCCAUGCAUGACUCAAUCCCCGAGGACUUGGUCUUCCCAAGUGAAAUUGUGGGCAAGAGAAUCCACGUGAAACUGGAUGGCAGCCGUCUCAUAAAGGCUCAUUUGGACAAAGCGCAGCAAAACAAUGUGGAACGCAACGUUGAAACUUUUUCUGGUGUCUACAUGAAGCUCACAGGCAAGGAUAUAAAUGUUGAAUUCCCAGAGUUUCAACUCUAAACAAAAAUGACUAAAUAAAGUGUAUUCACAGUAAAAAAAAAAAAAAAAAUGUGGCUUAUCCUGCUUGGUGGAAUAAGAAAAGUUGGCAGCAAAAAAUAUAAUCUGCAAAAUUCUGAU